CCUACGGGAGACAGCAGUGAGGAAUAUUGGUCAAUGGACGCAAGUCUGAACCAGCCAUGCCGCGUGAAGGAAGACGGCUCUAUGAGUUGUAAACUGCUUUUGUACGAGGGUAAACGCAGAUACGCGUACCUGUCUGAAUGUACCUUACGAAUAAGGAUCGGCUAACUCCGUGCCAGCAGCCGCGGUAAUACGGAGGGUUCAAGCGUUAUCCGGAUUUAUUGGGUUUAAAGGUUGCGUAGGCGGUCGGGUAAGUUAGAGGUGAAAUCCCGGGGCUCAACUUCGGAAUUGCCUCUGAUACUGUUCGGCUAGAGAGUAGGUGCGGUAGGCGGAAUGUGUGGUGUAGCGGUGAAAUGCUUAGAGAUCAUGCAGAACACCGAUUGCGAAGGCAGCAUACC
RNAcentral lists this ribosomal RNA (395 nucleotides) under uncultured bacterium. RNAcentral describes it as "partial 16S ribosomal RNA". It matches the Rfam family "Bacterial small subunit ribosomal RNA", at positions 338 to 730 of the family's 1533-position model. The record is from RNAcentral.